GUGAAUCAUCGAAUCUUUGAACGCAAAUUGCACUCUCUUCGGAGAGUAUGCCUGUUUGAGGGUCAGCCUAAAAAAAAAUCGACUUAGUCGCUGUUUCGCGGUGACAUUCUGCGGGGAUCGGGUCAUCUUAGACCUUUGGGUUUUAAGCGGCUUCAAAUUUUCUUUACGUUCCUCCGAACGUUUCUAUGAUAUACUUCUUACACUUUUAAGGUAAUCGAUCUUUAUUAGACGUGGACGUUGCC
RNAcentral lists this unclassified non-coding RNA (242 nucleotides) under Glomus sp. Its description in RNAcentral is "partial contains 5.8S ribosomal RNA and internal transcribed spacer 2". The stretch from base 1 to 65 matches the Rfam family "5.8S ribosomal RNA", at positions 84 to 154 of the family's 154-position model. The record is from RNAcentral. Lineage: Eukaryota; Fungi; Glomeromycota; Glomeromycetes; Glomerales; Glomeraceae.